Molecule: ribosomal RNA, 548 nt
Filed under: uncultured bacterium
Lineage: Bacteria
Description: bacterial SSU rRNA
Rfam family: Archaeal small subunit ribosomal RNA
Source: RNAcentral
GGGGCGCAGCAGGCGCGAAGCCUUUACAAUGCACGAAAGUGUGAUAGGGGAACUCAGCGUGCUCAUGGAAACCAUGGGCUUUUCUUUAGGGUAAAUACCUAAGGGAAUAAGGGAUGGGCAAGACCGGUGCCAGCAGCCGCGGUAACACCGGCGUCCCGAGUGGGAAUCACUUAUUAGGUCUAAAGCGCUCGUAGUUGGCUUUGUAAUUUCUUGUGAAAUCGUGUCGCUUAACGGCACGGCGUGCAGGAAACACUGCAGAGCUUGGGACUGGGAGGCGUCAGAAGUAUUCCUUAGGGAGCGGUAAAAUGUGAUAAUCUAAGGAGGACUACCUGUGGCGAAGGCGUCUGACGAGAACAGGUUCGACAAUCAGGAGCGAAGGCUAGGGGAGCAAACCGGAUUAGAUACCCGAGUAGUCCUAGCAGUAAACACUGUGUGCAAGGUGUUGCGUCUACAAUAGGUAGAUGCAGUAUCGAAGCGAAGGCACUAAGCACACCACCUGGGAAGUACGGUCGCAAGACUGGAACUUAAAAGAAUUGGCGGGGGAGGAC